This 1240-nucleotide ribosomal RNA is filed under the name metagenome. RNAcentral's name for it is "bacterial LSU rRNA". It matches the Rfam family "Bacterial large subunit ribosomal RNA", at positions 1564 to 2815 of the family's 2925-position model. The record is from RNAcentral.
UGAAUACGAGACGCUACGGCGUCGAAGCAGUCUAUGUCAUACUUCCAAGAAAAGCUUGCACUGUCAUAAACAAAUAAUGCCUGUACCAUAACCGACACAGGUGGGUAGGUAGAGUAUACUAAGGGGCGCGAGAUAACUCUCUCUAAGGAACUCGGCAAAAUGACUCCGUAACUUCGGGAGAAGGAGUGCCUUAUUUAUAAGGUUGCAAUAACAAGAUCCAAGCAACUGUUUAUCAAAAACACAGGUCUCCGCUAAGUCGUAAGACGAUGUAUGGGGGCUGACGCCUGCCCAGUGCCAGAAGGUUAAAGAAGUUGGUUAGCAUUAGCGAAGCUGAUAACUGAAGCCCUGGUGAACGGCGGCCGUAACUAUAACGGUCCUAAGGUAGCGAAAUUCCUUGUCGGGUAAGUUCCGACCCGCACGAAAGGCGUAAUGAUUUGGAUACUGUCUCGGAGAGGGGCUCGGUGAAAUAGACUUGUCUGUGAAGAUGCGGACUACCUGCACCUGGACAGAAAGACCCUAUGAAGCUUUACUGUAACCUGAAAUUGAAAUUGGACUUUAUUUGCGCAGUAUAGGUGGGAGGCGUUGAGAAUAUUCUUGCGGGAAUAUUGGAGCCAUCAGUGAGAUACCACUCUUGUAAUGUUAGAUUUCUAACUUUGAAUCAUUAUCUGGUCAAAGAACAGUUUCAGGCGGGCAGUUUGACUGGGGCGGUCGCCUCCUAAAUGGUAACGGAGGCGCACAAAGGUUUCCUCUGAACGGGUAGAAAUCGUAUCUAGAGUGUAAAGGCAUAAGGAAGCUUGACUGUGAGACCUACAAGUCGAGCAGGGACGAAAGUCGGUCUUAGUGAUCUGACGGUGCUGAGUGGAAAGGCCGUCACUCAACGGAUAAAAGUUACUCUAGGAUAACAGGCUGAUCUCCCCCAAGAGUUCACAUCGACGGGGAGGUUUGGCACCUGAUGUCGGCUCAUCGCAUCCUGGGGCGGUAGUACGUCCCAAGGGUUGGGCUGUUCGCCCAUGAAAGCGGUACGCGAGCUGGGUUCAGAACGUCGUGAGACAGUUCGGUCCAUAUCCGGUGUAGGCGUUAGAAUAUUGAGAGGAGCCUUCUUUAGUACGAGAGGACCGAGAAGGACAUACCUCUGGUGUACCAGUUAUCGUGCCAACGGUAAACGCUGGGUAGCUAUGUAUGUAGAGGAUAACCGCUGAAAGCAUCUAAGUGGGAAGCCCACCUCAAGAUAAGUAUUCAC